This 426-nucleotide ribosomal RNA is filed under the name uncultured bacterium. Its description in RNAcentral is "bacterial SSU rRNA". It matches the Rfam family "Bacterial small subunit ribosomal RNA", at positions 355 to 797 of the family's 1533-position model. The record is from RNAcentral.
UAGGGAAUCUUGCGCAAUGGGCGAAAGCCUGACGCAGCAACGCCGCGUGGGGGAUGAAGGCCUCGGGUUGCAAACUCCUUUCAGUGGGAACGAAAAUGACGGUACCCACAGAAGAAGCCCCGGCCAACUACGUGCCAGCAGCCGCGGUGAUACGUAGGGGGCGAGCGUUGUCCGGAUUCAUUGGGCGUAAAGAGCUCGUAGGCGGUUUGAUUAGUCGGGUGUGAAACCUCCAGGCUCAACCUGGAGACGCCACUCGAUACUGUCAUGACUAGAGUCCGGUAGGGGACCAUGGAAUUCCUGGUGUAGCGGUGAAAUGCGCAGAUAUCAGGAGGAACACCAGUAGCGAAGGCGGUGGUCUGGGCCGGUACUGACGCUGAGGAGCGAAAGCGUGGGGAGCGAACAGGAUUAGAUACCCCCAGUAGUCCU